Molecule: non-coding RNA, 248 nt
Organism: Plutella xylostella (diamondback moth)
Lineage: Eukaryota; Metazoa; Arthropoda; Insecta; Lepidoptera; Plutellidae
Source: RefSeq, a predicted model, not a curated record
GUCUGAGGCAAGGUCUUUUUUAAAAGGCCUUGGACGACGUAUAGUUAUCAGAGGUUAUGACCGCCGCUCCGGUUCGUACCUCGCUCAAAGGAUAUCACUUGCUAUACAACGCGGUAAUGCUGCGAGUAUAAUGGGUACCUUUGGGCCAGGUACGAUUCGGGGUGGCCUUUUUGAGUGAUUUUUGACGAGGCAUAUUGCUGAUAACAUUUGUUAUAUAGGGUGUUGCAAAAAGGGUAUAUCAAGCCGAC